UACAAUGAUGAAUAAAAUUUAUCACGACGGUCUACAUAGGAUAUCGCUUCGGCUUUAUCCCUUUGAUGAAAAACGCCGAUGACACGGCACCCGAACUGAGU
RNAcentral lists this small nucleolar RNA (101 nucleotides) under Neurospora crassa. RNAcentral's name for it is "box C/D snoRNA CD31". Lineage: Eukaryota; Fungi; Ascomycota; Sordariomycetes; Sordariales; Sordariaceae. The record is from RNAcentral.